UAUAUAUAUAUGUGAAGCAAUUAGGUUUUAGACAUAUCCUGCCUCCCCUCUUUAUAUCUUAUCUCUUUCUUCUACCUUGGAAUCAACUUCUUUCUCUAUUUUCUCCAUUAAAUUUUUGGUGGUUCAAAGUGAUUUCUUCAAUGAAUUUACAAUAGCUCGUUGAUUCCCCUGAAGAUAAAUCAAUCUUAUACAAUUGAACAAAGGAUAUGGACAGCAGCAGAUUACAAAGGAUAGAGAAAUGAAGAGUUCAAAGGAAGGAACCGCAAGUUUUAUUUUUAUGUUUUUUUAAUUUUGUAAAACGGUUAUAUAUUACCCAAAUCUGUAUAUAUACAUUGUAACAUGGAGUUUUAUUGCUUCAAUUCAAUAAAAUUGUAUACUCUGUUUCAUA
Chenopodium quinoa (quinoa) is the source of this 388-nucleotide long non-coding RNA. RefSeq lists it as uncharacterized. The transcript has 2 exons. Lineage: Eukaryota; Viridiplantae; Streptophyta; Magnoliopsida; Caryophyllales; Amaranthaceae. The record is from RefSeq and is a predicted model, not a curated record.